This 497-nucleotide ribosomal RNA is filed under the name uncultured bacterium. RNAcentral's name for it is "partial 16S ribosomal RNA". It matches the Rfam family "Bacterial small subunit ribosomal RNA", at positions 28 to 507 of the family's 1533-position model. The record is from RNAcentral.
GAUGAACGCUGGCGGCGUGCCUAAUACAUGCAAGUCGAGCGAACGGACGAGAAGCUUGCUUCUCUGAUGUUAGCGGCGGACGGGUGAGUAACACGUGGAUAACCUACCUAUAAGACUGGGAUAACUUCGGGAAACCGGAGCUAAUACCGGAUAAUAUUUUGAACCGCAUGGUUCAAAAGUGAAAGACGGUCUUGCUGUCACUUAUAGAUGGAUCCGCGCUGCAUUAGCUAGUUGGUAAGGUAACGGCUUACCAAGGCAACGAUGCAUAGCCGACCUGAGAGGGUGAUCGGCCACACUGGAACUGAGACACGGUCCAGACUCCUACGGGAGGCAGCAGUAGGGAAUCUUCCGCAAUGGUCGAAAGCCUGACGGAGCAACGCCGCGUGAGUGAUGAAGGUCUUCGGAUCGUAAAACUCUGUUAUUAGGGAAGAACAUAUGUGUAAGUAACUGUGCACAUCUUGACGGUACCUAAUCAGAAAGCCACGGCUAACUACGUG